UACAGUCCAACGGUCUGGAUUGGUUAGAAAUGCGAGGACAUAUGAACAUGGCUAAGGCUAUGGAUGAGCUGCUAAAGUACAGGACGCAGUCUGACU
Molecule: long non-coding RNA, 96 nt
Organism: Lepidothrix coronata (blue-crowned manakin)
Lineage: Eukaryota; Metazoa; Chordata; Aves; Passeriformes; Pipridae
Exons: 3
Source: RefSeq, a predicted model, not a curated record